AAUCAACGCUGGCGGCGUGCCUAACACAUGCAAGUCGAGCGCGAAAGGGGGCAACCCCGAGUAGAGCGGCGAACGGGUGAGUAACGCGUGGGUGAUUUGCCUCCGAGUGGGGAACAACACCGGGAAACUGGUGCUAAUACCGCAUGACAUCCUCGGGUCGUACUGGGGAUCAAAGCUGGGGACCGCAAGGCCUAGCGCUUGGAGAGAAGCCCGCGUCCGAUUAGCUAGUUGGUGGGGUAAGGCCUACCAAGGCGACGAUCGGUAGCCGGCCUGAGAGGGCGGACGGCCACACUGGGACUGAGACACGGCCCAGACUCCUACGGGAGGCAGCAGUGGGGAAUUUUUCGCAAUGGGGGAAACCCUGACGAAGCAACGCCGCGUGGAGGAUGAAGGCC
RNAcentral lists this ribosomal RNA (395 nucleotides) under uncultured bacterium. Its description in RNAcentral is "bacterial SSU rRNA". It matches the Rfam family "Bacterial small subunit ribosomal RNA", at positions 29 to 416 of the family's 1533-position model. The record is from RNAcentral.